GAGGCGGCGGCGGAGGGGCGACGGGUGCUCGGUCGCAGUAGGGGUCGAGGCAGGGGGUGCCGGCGUGGGAGGCUCAGGUGCUACAGAAGACCUUUACCCUAGCUACCUCUACUUUUCAGACUUCUCUGCGUAUCGUUUCUAUAAUCUGCGUAGUUCACACUAAAAACGUGACAACAAUCCAGGUUCUACAUAGAGUAAGCUCGAGUGUACCAACGAGUCGUGUUCCUACUCAAUCUGCGUAGUCUUUAGAUAUUGAGUUUACCACUUUUCCAACAAGUACCCCAACUUGUGAGUACACUUCUCACGCCUCGAACAAAGGCCUUCGGUCGAGUAGACUUCGUCGUGUACGUUUCAGUAAGGUUUCUCUCUAGGAAGCGGACGGGUGAACUUCUGACGGGGAAGUCGAUAUAUUCUUUUCUAGUGAACUUGGCCGUAUACGAAUGUGUACUCCCGUUCAACAAAUGUACGGGAGAUCUUCCAACACCGUUCUCCAAGUCGUAGUUCCGCUUAUAAGUUUCUGUACAAUUCCUUUACGUACUCCUUCUUGUGCUUACGUUUUAACUACUGUGAUUUUCGUUGGUUGUCCAAUAAACGGUCCUCCUCCCGACAUUUUUCCGAAAGUUCAUAGGAAGUGUCGACUUCUUUGUGCUCCUCAGUGUACGGUUUAACCUGAUACACCUUCAUCAGACAACACUCGGACCGACGAACUUCUGUAAGUGUUUACGGUUCACGGACUUCCGAGUAUUGGUCAGAACGGUAGAUAUAUGAGUGACACUAUAAACACCCCUCUUUGUGGACUCCUUCUUGUAAUUUUCCGUAGAUGCUCAAGUACUGUUUCACGUGAGAUGACUUUCCGACCUUACGUCAAAACUACCGACACUUACGAGGAAAAGGUUGUUUAGUUUAGAUUGGUACGUAUACUUCCGCACGGUGCUGGUUCAGUCCGGAAAACUCACAGCCCAGCGCCCCACACCGUUCUGUAAGGGGAUGUUCGUACAGUCCCUGUUAGUGCUCUUCAGCUCAACAGUACAUAUACAUCUCCCGCUGAUACUCCUCUACCUACUCGUCGACGCGAGCGCGGCUCCUCCACCCGCCUUCUCCCGCCGGCACUGCCAUCUCUGCGACUGAGCGUUCUCCCAUUGGUAGGGGUCGCUCCAGAGUAGCGACCUGCUGCCCCGCCUCAUGUACGCGACCUACGAGAGGCUCCCCCCACUAAGCUUGGUACGGCUCAUCCGCACACGACGACAGAGAAUCAUACAACAACGUCAUGCAAAACCUCCAACAGUUUACAUAUCCCCCAGAGAUGCCACAACCCCGAGUUCAGCCACAUCAUACGUACAUACAUACCUCUCAAUACUAAAUCAUUCAUAUAUAUCAUAAUCGUUCACUUCGUCAGCACAAUAUAUACCCAUUCAUCAUUCAUGAGGUCAUCGAACAAACCUCGAUCAUCGUCAGGCCCGUAAACUCAGACAACAUUACCGGUAGAACUUCGACACAACAUCAAACCUACCGAACAACGACAACACC
RNAcentral lists this ribosomal RNA (1527 nucleotides) under Triticum aestivum (bread wheat). Its description in RNAcentral is "partial small subunit ribosomal RNA". Lineage: Eukaryota; Viridiplantae; Streptophyta; Magnoliopsida; Poales; Poaceae. The record is from RNAcentral.